Molecule: ribosomal RNA, 442 nt
Filed under: uncultured bacterium
Lineage: Bacteria
Description: bacterial SSU rRNA
Rfam family: Bacterial small subunit ribosomal RNA
Source: RNAcentral
GAUGAACGCUGGCGGUAUGCCUAACACAUGCAAGUCGUACGAGAGUUUUUAACUCUAGUGGCGGACGGGUGAGUAACACGUGAGAAUUUGCCUUUAGGAGGGGGACAACAAUCGGAAACGAAUGCUAAUACCCCAUAUGCUUUCGAGUGAAAUGGAUUUUAUCCGCCUAGAGAGAAGCUCGCGGCUGAUUAGCUUGUUGGUAAGGUAAGAGCUUACCAAGGCGACGAUCAGUAUCUGGUUUGAGAGGACGAUCAGACACACUGGAACUGAGACACGGUCCAGACUCCUACGGGAGGCAGCAGUGGGGAAUUUUCCGCAAUGGGCGAAAGCCUGACGGAGCAAUACCGCGUGAGGGAAGAAUGCCUAUGGGUUGUAAACCUCUUUUUUCAGGGAGGAAUAAAAUGACGUGUACCUGAAGAAUAAGCAUCGGCUAAACUCCGUG